This is a long non-coding RNA of Notolabrus celidotus (New Zealand spotty), 2260 nucleotides long. RefSeq lists it as uncharacterized. NCBI's taxonomy places the organism in Eukaryota, Metazoa, Chordata, Actinopteri, Labriformes, Labridae. The record is from RefSeq and is a predicted model, not a curated record. The transcript is spliced from 7 exons.
UUUGGUCGCUCGCAGCAGCCGUACCGUAAUUCCCUGUGUAGUCGCGCAUUAUUUUUCGAGGGGCGGCUGGCUUGACCAGGGUUUUGCAAAAGACGGCUCACUUGACCGCAGUGACAUGAGUUCACUGUUAUUUUCUUGUACAUACCUCUGCCAGAGCAUCUCUGUGGUAAACAACCAAGGCUUUUUGGUUCUGGGCAGUUAGCCAAGAGCAGAAACAAAUUAGCAAAAACAUGACUCUCCACACUCCAGGCAUGUCUGUGAAACAGAAAAGACUCCCGCGCAGCAUUUCUGGAAACAAGUGGGACAUUCCGGGCAUUCGGAUACAGACUUUCAGUCCAUCCACACUGCAGGGGGAGGAUCUCUCAAUUCCCCUGUCCCUGUUUAUGUUUUUGUGAUUCAUGGGUGGAUCUCAAAGCUGUUAAGUUCCAUCCUCACAUCUGCGUAGUUCAAUUGCGUCUCCGUCCCUCCCACCAGAGAAACAUGGAUGUGAGGAAAUUACGAGAGGGGCUGCAUCUCAAGGCUCCAAACUUUCAUCCUCGCGGGGUUCACUCGCGCCGUUCCCUUGCGUCUUAGUCCUUCCCACAAAGAUGCAAUGAAAUGAAACGGGUGGAGAGAAGAAAUGAGGAGGUUUGUUUUAAGAGACAUGAGGCGUCCUUUCCUCUGGGGCGUCAUGUCAAGUUUCUUUUUGCGAUGACGGCGUCAGCUGAUCAGCUGUCGUGCAGCUUUAACAGCUGUUAGUGUCUUCACAUGUGUGCGUUGUAAUUCUGAUCAAAUCUAAAUUGUAACUGUUUGUGUUUUCCCUGUUUAACAAACACCUUCAAGAGAGGACAACGUAGUCUUUGUUUAUCCUGUGUUCUGCCAAGAAUACGGAUCACUUUAGAAAUUAGUCAUUGUAUAUUUUUGAUUGUAUAUUAUAUGCAUUAUUCAGUAUGUACGCCUAUCUGAUCGAGAACUCUAAGUCUUAUUUAUAUAACCCAGUUUUCUGAUGUCUCAGGAACACUGGAUAUUUACUGCUUAUUAGAUCUAAAGUGAGUGCUAUUGCUAACAUACUUCUCUCAGAGUUGAAUUCUCGUCUUGCAGAAGAAGAGAGGAGAAUCAACAGGAUAAUUAACAGAAUAAACGGAUCAAGAAUAUUUCUAAUCUAUCUACGCUAUAAGACUAAAUGACUCAUUAUUUCAGAUACUGACUGUUAAGAAAUCGACAUUUGUAUAUGAUCUGUUUCAAGCUACCCCUGGUGACUGUUUUAAGGUCCGUCUUUUCGCUGUUAAACACGUGUGCCUAUAUUUACAGUCUAUGAUUAUACUCCGGUGAUGUGAAGUCCUUGCCGCUGCAGCGUCCAAUCAGUGAGUGAUAUUCCACACGCGUGUAUCUACCAGUGAAAAUAGAAGGCUUGUGUAUCCUCCCUCAUCGAGCCUCCGAUUAACCUCCUCUAUCCAUUUUCCUCUGUUCUCCGAGCUGCAUUAAGAGCUUUUGAACGCCACUCAGCAUUGAGGGUCCAUUAAACCUACCGGUUCAGCCGAGGACCGAGGACAACCCAAUUUUUAAAAAGGCCUGACACAGUGUAGUCUGAGGCUUGUCCAUCGAUGAGGCCUGUUCCAUUAUUGUGAAUGAACCAGCAGGGAACGUUGUCUCCUUUCUUCACAUCCCUCCUGAAGUCUCUCUGCCAGCCUCUGUGGACCGAUACAGAAACGUCAGUUCUGUCACCUCAUACUCAACCCCAUGGUAGAACUGACCUGCAGGAUGGUCCAUUAUGACAGCAAACGACACAUUCAGAGGGGCUACAUACUUCUUAAAGAAAAGCAGUCUUGAGUCAGCACUAAAUAUCUGAGAAACAUGGUGGUUGUGUCAGUUUAUCAGCGAUGAGUGGGCUGUCGGUUCCGUCCUCCGUCUCUGGCUUGGUGACCACCAUGGAGCCUAAACCGUCCACCUGAAGCUGAAGUGCUGCAUCUGACCCUUCAUAAAUUCUGCGAGCCAGUCCUUUAUUUUUUUUGCUCAUCUCAUCGAGGAAGGAGUAAUCCACAUCAUUUCCAAAUCCAAGACAGAACAGAGUCAAGUUUCCUCCACCAACAUUGCGCACACUGUUUAUGAUGAAACCAAGAGUGGACGCUCCUUCAAAUGAAAGAAACACAAGAAGUUAAAUGUAAUAAUAUGAAUUAUAGAAUGAAGUAUGUACAAAUAUAGCCUACAGUGUUUAUGUACUCACCCCCAUCUGGCAUUCCAUCAGUCAAUAAAAUAAUCAUAUCGAUGCUCCUCUCUGGGA